This 279-nucleotide ribosomal RNA is filed under the name uncultured bacterium. RNAcentral's name for it is "partial 16S ribosomal RNA". It matches the Rfam family "Bacterial small subunit ribosomal RNA", at positions 506 to 784 of the family's 1533-position model. The record is from RNAcentral.
UGCCAGCCUCCGCUGUACUACUGAUUUUGCAAGCGUUGUUCGGAAUUACUGGGCGUAAAGCGCGCGUAGGCGGCUUUUUAAGUCAGAUGUGAAAGUCCACGGCUCAAUCGUGGAAGUGCAUUUGAAACUGGAAAGCUUGAGUAUCAGAGGGGAUGGUGGAAUUCCCGGUGUAGAGGUGAAAUUCGUAGAUAUCGGGAGGAAUACCGGUGGCGAAGGCGACCAUCUGGCUGAAUACUGACGCUGAGGUGCGAAAGCGUGGGGAGCAAACAGGAUUAGAUA